Molecule: ribosomal RNA, 422 nt
Filed under: uncultured bacterium
Lineage: Bacteria
Description: bacterial SSU rRNA
Rfam family: Bacterial small subunit ribosomal RNA
Source: RNAcentral
UAUUGCGCAAUGGGCGAAAGCCUGACGCAGCGACGCCGCGUGAGGGAUGAAGGUUUUCGGAUCGUAAACCUCUGUCAGAAGGGAAGAAAGUGCGUGGUGCUAAUCAGCCGCGUCUUGACGGUACCUUCAAAGGAAGCACAGGCGCACCCCGUGCAAGCAGCCGCGGUAAUACGGACGGUGCGAGCGUUAAUCGGAAUUACUGGGCGGAAAGCGCACGUAGGCUGUUGUGUAAGUCAGGGGUGAAAUCCCACGGCUCAACCGUGGAACUGCCCUUGAUACUGCAUGACUGGAAUCCGGGAGAGGGUGGCGGAAUUCCAGGUGUAGGAGUGAAAUCCGUAGAUAUCUGGAGGAACAUCAGUGGCGAAGGCGGCCACCUGGACCGGUAUUGACGCUGAGGUGCGAAAGCGUGGGGAGCAAACAGG